RNAcentral lists this ribosomal RNA (830 nucleotides) under uncultured Prevotella sp. RNAcentral describes it as "bacterial SSU rRNA". It matches the Rfam family "Bacterial small subunit ribosomal RNA", at positions 53 to 874 of the family's 1533-position model. Lineage: Bacteria; Pseudomonadati; Bacteroidota; Bacteroidia; Bacteroidales; Prevotellaceae. The record is from RNAcentral.
ACAUGCAAGUCGAGGGGAAACGGCAUUUAGUGCUUGCACCGAAUGGACGUCGACCGGCGCACGGGUGAGUAACGCGUAUCCAACCUACCCAUUACUGUGGGAUAACCUGCCGAAAGGCAGACUAAUACCGCAUAGUCUUCGAUGACGGCAUCAGAUUUGAAGUAAAGAUUUAUCGGUAAUGGAUGGGGAUGCGUCUGAUUAGCUUGUUGGCGGGGUAACGGCCCACCAAGGCGACGAUCAGUAGGGGUUCUGAGAGGAAGGUCCCCCACAUUGGAACUGAGACACGGUCCAAACUCCUACGGGAGGCAGCAGUGAGGAAUAUUGGUCAAUGGGCGCGAGCCUGAACCAGCCAAGUAGCGUGCAGGAUGACGGCCCUAUGGGUUGUAAACUGCUUUUGUAUGGGGAUAAAGUCAAUCACGUGUGAUUGUUUGCAGGUACCAUACGAAUAAGGACCGGCUAAUUCCGUGCCAGCAGCCGCGGUAAUACGGAAGGUCCGGGCGUUAUCCGGAUUUAUUGGGUUUAAAGGGAGCGUAGGCCGGAGAUUAAGUGUGUUGUGAAAUGUAGACGCUCAACGUCUGACUUGCAGCGCAUACUGGUUUCCUUGAGUACGCACAACGUUGGCGGAAUUCGUCGUGUAGCGGUGAAAUGCUUAGAUAUGACGAAGAACUCCGAUUGCGAAGGCAGCUGACGGGAGCGCAACUGACGCUUAAGCUCGAAGGUGCGGGUAUCGAACAGGAUUAGAUACCCUGGUAGUCCGCACAGUAAACGAUGGAUGCCCGCUGUUGGUACCUGGUAUCAGCGGCUAAGCGAAAGCAUUAAGCAUCCCACCU